Molecule: long non-coding RNA, 822 nt
Organism: Perognathus longimembris pacificus (Pacific pocket mouse)
Lineage: Eukaryota; Metazoa; Chordata; Mammalia; Rodentia; Heteromyidae
Exons: 2
Source: RefSeq, a predicted model, not a curated record
UUCUCCUUGGGCUGCCUUCGAACUACCCUCAGAUCUCAGCCUCCCGAGUAACUAGGAUAACAGGCAUGAGCCACCAACACCAAGCUUAGACAGACUCGCAUACCAGGUUCCAUUGUGUGUAAUGAGAAUAUUAAUAACAGCUAACUUUGCUUUCAGGCAUUUCUGUAGUAUUUGAACUAUGCACCAUAUGUUUUCUCCUUUAAUUAUAACAACUUCUAGUGUUCUCAUUUUAAGAGCUAAAGAUAGUGGGAAUGCGAGCAAUUUCUCUCACAUGAUUCAGCUAGGAAGUGGCAGGGCUAAAAGUGAAUACUACCACCUCAGAACUGGAUCCUUAAAUGUACUGUGGUGACAAUGUAUGUACUCAGUGCAGUGCUUACCUCACACAGCUCUCCUGUUGUCAUUUUAGCUAGGGACCAUGUUGUGCUGGAGACUUUUAAUCAUUCAUAUGUAUCUGUAGGAAAGUCCUUCAUAUUUCUACUGGAAACUGUUCUAGGCCCAUUGAUCUCAACUUGGGGUGAUUCUUCCAGCUUGCUAUCUGGAGACAUUUUUGUUUUUCACAAUUGGGGAGGAUAAAUACUACAGGAUAGAGCCUAGUCUAAGGUGUAAGCAGAAUGCUGUUGCUGACUCCUGUCUAAAAGAGGUUCUCUGUUACCUGCUGAUUGGACUUUGUUGAAAUACAAAUAUUCAUAUGUGAUAUGUUCAGCUCACAGGGGUAAAACAUAAACAGGAUCACAAAAAUAGAGACUGUUUCAAAAGAAAAUAACAAUAUACAGACAGUCUGGGACUUUUCCUCAAAAGAAGGACUAGUCAUUUGGGAGAAGC